GUAUACAGCGACAAACUCGCAGGCAAAACAGGUUAGGCCAGUCUGCCAGAGCGAAGUAAAGCAGUGCCUGCACAGCGCUGACAAGUACGUCUACUGCGCAGAGGUCACCCUAGAGGACAACUUAACCAAGUAAAACAGGCCUGAGCAAACAAGCUCACAGCAUGUCUGUGUGUGUUUGUGUUUGUGUGCGCUUGUGUUUUCUGUGGUAUUCAAAUUCCACAGCCUAAGAGUAGAAUGGACUACAGCCAGAGAGGACCCGAGGUUAUUUCAGCCAGCUACACGUCAAUGUUUAGGUGCCCAUGCCGGCCCCGUCAGGUAUGUCAGCUGCUCUCCUGCCUGUGAGGAGGGGAUUGGGCCCCAGCAGCGCAGGAACCUGGGACCUUUCAUUUAAGAUGGCGCUGAAAGCUGCCCCCAAGGUGGAAAGAUUCCCCAUCGGUCAAAAUGCUUUCAGGAAUGGGACACUGGAGCAGCUGGGGAAAAAAAAAUAAAAAAAUCCCCAACUGCAAACGCACACACACACAUUGUUUCACCGGAAAAUCUAAGAAAAUGUACUGGUACAAAUAAAGCAAGCACGCAGAGUACAAUAAAAA
This is a long non-coding RNA of Oreochromis niloticus (Nile tilapia), 590 nucleotides long. RefSeq lists it as uncharacterized. Lineage: Eukaryota; Metazoa; Chordata; Actinopteri; Cichliformes; Cichlidae. The transcript has 2 exons. The record is from RefSeq and is a predicted model, not a curated record.